Molecule: long non-coding RNA, 332 nt
Filed under: Bos taurus (domestic cattle)
Lineage: Eukaryota; Metazoa; Chordata; Mammalia; Artiodactyla; Bovidae
Description: long non-coding RNA NONBTAT009517
Source: RNAcentral
GGGGGAAUAAAGGAGCUUGUGCCCAUUUUCCUGCGGGAAAACUGAAGCAGUGAGAGGCUCAAGGAGAGGGAGGUCUUGGCCAGGAUCCCGAAUCAAGUCAGAAAUGGGACUCAGGCAUCGAGGUAUUUAAUCUCUAGCCCUCUACUUAAUUGUUACAAGUUUUUUAAACCCAGUGACCCCACUCAAGCACUUGGCCUUUGCCGAGUCCUACCACGCUGGGAACACCCACCCGCUUCGUCUGGCCGUCAUGAGUCAGUCCCGACACAACUCAGUCGCCACAUCCUCCAGGUAGCUUCCCUCGACCUGUAGAAAAAGUUACUUGUUGAAUGAAG